AACUGUUGCAGGGCGAUAGGGUUAUUCUAGAGGGAAAGAAGAGGACGAGAGGAUAUUACUAUCUGAUGGGGAGCCUAGUGCGAGGUAGAGCUUCUAGAGCCAGGAGGAGACUAGAGUAAGGUAGAGCUCCAGAUGGAAGUGGAUCGGGCACUAGACGGAAGACUCAGAAGGAUGAGAGACGAUGUUGCAAAGUGAAGUUUCUAUUACUGCAGGAGACUUCUCCGAGCAGGUCUUUGAUCAGAGUGGACAAAGUUCAUAACGGAGGUUGGAUAAAGCAACCUGGCUUGGCUCCCACAUUUAUCCAUCCAUGAGAUAGCAGGCAUGCCCUAGGGUAUAGGGGCGAGAUAGAUCACAGGCUCUCAGAUAGGUGGAGGCUGAAUAUCAAGUCGAGAUGGAGAUUGUUGAGAUUUUAUGCCUCAAGAUUCAAUCCAUAUUGAGUCC
This 441-nucleotide long non-coding RNA is filed under the name Elaeis guineensis (African oil palm). Its description in RNAcentral is "long non-coding RNA (EGUI_LNC033797)". The record is from RNAcentral. Lineage: Eukaryota; Viridiplantae; Streptophyta; Magnoliopsida; Arecales; Arecaceae.